UGUUUGAUAGGUUGAAUACUUAGAGAAUAAAUUAGCUAUGUAUUGUACAUGUUGAUAACUUGUAGUACAAGCUAAUAAUAUAGUGUACAUAUAGGAAAUUUAUUUUGGAAGUUAAGUCAUUUGUCUUGCAAAUUAAACAUGUAUUGGAGAUCCUAGAGAAUGUUGCGACAUAGCUUUUAGUUAGAUAGUAUAUAUGGAAGCAAGAAUGGAGUCUUUUUUACUUUUAUCAAUUCUUUUUUUGCUUCUAAUUUAAUUUCAAAGUCUCUAGUUUUUUAUCUUUUAGCAACAGUCAUUUUAGUUUCUUUAUAUAUAUAUAUAUAUAUAUAUAUAUAUAUAUUUGAAAAAAAUCUUAUUUAUUUAUGUAUUCAUCAAGUUCUUGUCCUUGAUACUGACCUAAGAAUGAUUGUCAAUAAAUUAAUUGUUAUAAUUUGUAUCAACAAAGCCUCUAUAAAGAUGGUUAUGAAUUCCAAAAUCAAUCUACAAAACAAACGUAUUUUAGUCCAUUUCUAUUAAACAAGAGAGAAAUUGGAACAAUUAGAGAUAUAAUUGAAUUAUGUAUUAAUAACCAAACAAGUUGCAAAUUUGUUCACAUAAUCUUUGGUAAAAAAUGUGUGAGAAAUUUAGAAGCAAACUAAACAUUAGAAGCUUUCAAGGUAGCAUUCUUUGAAAAAACUAAAACUAAAAUAGUAAUCUUUCUAUUGCCAUGUCCUUACUAUGCAAUCUAUCAACAUAACUAUAUAUUAUUUUUACUUUAUAUGUAUAAAACUAUCACUAAUAAAACAUGACUAAUCCUUGCCAAUUGAAAGAAAUGCAACUUCCCUAAAAUCCAAAAUCCUAACACCCAAGUAAUGCUCAAUAUCUUCAUAUAUUUUGAAAUUCUUAAGCUCCGCAUUGUUAAAGCCAUUUAUUUAAAACUUUACAAUUUAGUCAAGAAAAAUAAAUACUAAGAUGAUAGCUUUACCAAAUAACAUAAUAUUUCCUAAUAUUGGACAAUAGCAACAAACCUUCAAUAUGACAAACAAUACACUAAAUUGGAGAUGAUUAUAUAACAAAGGUCAAAACUUAUACAUUACUCCCUAUGUUGGUAACAACAACAACAAAAACAUCAUAGUCAUCUCAACUUAACAACAUGUGCCUAUCAAAAAGACAAGCAAAGAAAGGAAGAAAUAAGUAAGGCCAUUACAAAGACAAUAAACAAUAAUAAUAAGAAACCAUAAUAUAAGCAAUAAAAUCUCUACUUGCAAGAAAUUCAAAAGGUACACAUUAGCAAAUCUUUUGUCAAGUAAGUGCAACAAAAGAAAGCAUAGCUACAUAUAAUUCCAAUUUUUGGAAUAGCAUUAGGACUAGAACUCAUUGCAAUUAAAAAAUCCAAUUGUAGAUGUAGAUCCUUCACCAAUUGCUUAGGAAUCAACCUCACCAGCUACAUUGCUCUAGAGACAUUAUCCUAAAGCAAAUGAGAUAGGAACAAGAUGAAGAAAACAAAUGUAAAUAUGUACCUCUUCUUUCUUAUUAAUUAAGUGAGAGUGUCAUUGUGGUUAGUAAGAGCUUGAGAGCUUUAGUGCCUGAAUUCAUACAACUUGCCUGUGUUCAAAAUUUAGAGGAGACACCAUCGUUCGAACUUGAAGGGAUUUGAAAACACAUUUUAUUUUCAAAUCCUGCACGCCUGCUGAUCUUAGAUACGAUAAGUUUUUUAGUUCUACAAUUUGAGGUAAGCAAACUAUGCUCAGGUUCUCUGUUUUUCAUGUGCUGACAUGGUCUUAGUUUUUGCAACCUUGGUGGACAAGUUGUAAUUUAGGGUCAGGAGCAAUUUUUCUCAGUUGAACACUACCGGUGCGUUAGUGUUGCUGAGGAUUAAUACAAUCAGCAAGAUUUUGUAUGUAAGAAAUAAAAAAAAAAAAUAUAUAUAUAUAUAUAUAUAUUAUGUAUGCAAGUUUCCUCCAGUGGUUUUUCUCGGCACUCUAUCGCAGACUACAACUCAUGCUACUUUAUGUUUCAGAUCUUAAACCUCUUGUGCUGUCAAAAUUAUAAAAAUGUGAGAUACUGUCCAUAGAUAAUUUUCUCGCACACUAAGACAACGUCAGCCAAAUAAAUGUUCCAUGUCUUGGAAUGAUGGAUCUAGGAAUUCGUGUAUAACUUAUUUACUGUAAAUUUACGAAACAUUUCUGCUUAACAUCAGAACUCCAUCGUUGCUCGUUAUCUCUAUCAAGACUCCGAGACCAUGUAGCAUCCAAAAAAUCAAGAAAGGGAUUACUACACCGAGGAUGUCUUCGAUGAUUCCACACACACACCACUUAAGGCAAUGUCAAUUUGUUGAUACGUGUGUACAGAUCGGUUUUGUAAUGUGAUGACCUCCCUCGGAUCAAGAUGGCUACCGGUCAAACUCUACGGACUUUCACAGAACGGCAACUAUGAAAUCUCUGACGGCCAGGGAGUUAGAACAGGAUGCGAUAUCUGAAGCAGGCACAUAGCGAGAGCGCUGGAAGAAAACCUCCUCGGUCCAGACAGGGACGCAAGACAGCAUACAACAUAUACGGGAGCCGUUCGAAGGGGAUUGCCGAUUGUAACAAAGCACAGAAGCUGACACUUCUCGACUAGCACUCACGCGUUUCGAAAGAAAAAUUUCUAUCCAAGGGAGCCUUCUGCACAAACCAGCCACAAGGGCAACGAGCAAUCCGAUCCAGAGCCGUUUUGAAUUUGCCGAUCCGAACAGAGGCGGAGAAGCUUUCUAACGAGGAGACAUGAAGUCAGAAACGUCAGCACAAGACAUGUCUAUGGAUGUGGGAAUCUGAAAGGCAAAGAACGAUUAAUGGUUGCGAGUUGCGGUGUCACGAAGAAAGGACGCGUUAAGGACGUACACAGAACGUUCGGUGG
RNAcentral lists this long non-coding RNA (2871 nucleotides) under Physcomitrium patens. RNAcentral's name for it is "long non-coding RNA (PPAT_LNC007415)". The record is from RNAcentral. Lineage: Eukaryota; Viridiplantae; Streptophyta; Bryopsida; Funariales; Funariaceae.